Molecule: unclassified non-coding RNA, 708 nt
Filed under: Zea mays
Lineage: Eukaryota; Viridiplantae; Streptophyta; Magnoliopsida; Poales; Poaceae
Description: misc RNA Zm00001eb005620
Source: RNAcentral
CUUGCCCCUCCCUGCUGCUGCCAUGGCUGAGCACUUCCCCUCUCCACGGCGCCUUCUCCCUCCUCUCUCCCUCUCUAGCGCAGGGAAGCUUCUUUUUUUUUCUUUCCUCCAUGGCGCUCCUGCUCGGGUCGUGCAUCCGCCGUCUCUGCUGCGCGCGGCACUCAGGCCUGCUUUGUCCUCUGCCGUGCUGUGCCGCCGCCUUGGAGCUCACCCUGGCGCUCGCUGGUGCCCCUGCUGCGCGACGUCGGCCAGGAGCGCCGUCGCUGGCUUCUCUGUUCGGGAGCAGGCCAUGUACGUGAGUUUGAGGAAGAAGAUGAUCCAUGUGUCUAUGGCAGGACCGAGAGGUGGUGAUCAUGCAAGUGAUGUGGUGCCAACCACAAGAUGCAGCUGGUGGACAACUUGAAGAAUGAUGGACAUGACCAGUGGAUGCUCGCCAAGCGAGUACCCCCCAGCAAACACUACCUAAGUGUCAAAUUAAAGGUACUACUUGAUUUGGUUGAUGGUGUGACUUGGCCUUCAUCCCUGCCACCGGGAUAGAUGGUCGAGUGGGUUACUGCUUCCGCAGGAGAGGACCAGGAGGAGUAGUGUGGCCAGGCUUCGCCAUGUUACUCGGUUCUUCUCCGUUAGUAUUUUUCGCUGCAUUAAAAGUUAUGGUUAUUAUUUCUAAAACUCCGAUAAUGUAAUCACUAAUGAUACUUAUUAAAUUUG